AUUGAACGCUGGCGGCAGGCCUAACACAUGCAAGUCGAGCGGAUGAAGGGAGCUUGCUCCUGGAUUCAGCGGCGGACGGGUGAGUAAUGCCUAGGAAUCUGCCUGGUAGUGGGGGAUAACGCCCGGAAACGGGCGCUAAUACCGCAUACGUCCUGAGGGAGAAAGUGGGGGGUCUUCGGACCUCACGCGAGCAGAUGAGCCUAGGUCGGAUUAGCUAGUUGGUGGGGUAAGGGCCUACCAAGGCGACGAUCCGUAACUGGUCUGUGAGGAUGAUCAGUCACCUUGGAACUGGGACGGGGUCAAGACUACUGAGGGACGCCGCAGUGGGGAAUAUUGGACAACGGUCGGAAGCCUUAUACAGCCAUGCCGCGUGUGUGAAGGAGGUCUUCGGAUUGUGAAGCACUUUAAGUGGGGAGGAAGGGCAGUCAGUUAAUACCUUGCUGUUUUGACGUUACCAACAGAAUAAGCACCGGCUAACUACGUG
This 484-nucleotide ribosomal RNA is filed under the name uncultured bacterium. RNAcentral describes it as "partial 16S ribosomal RNA". It matches the Rfam family "Bacterial small subunit ribosomal RNA", at positions 30 to 507 of the family's 1533-position model. The record is from RNAcentral.